UCCUACGGGAGGCAGCAGUGGGGAAUUUUGGACAAUGGGCGAAAGCCUGAUCCAGCAAUGCCGCGUGUGUGAAGAAGGCCUUCGGGUUGUAAAGCACUUUUGUCCGGAAAGAAAUCCUUGGCUCUAAUACAGUCGGGGGAUGACGGUACCGGAAGAAUAAGCACCGGCUAACUACGUGCCAGCAGCCGCGGUAAUACGUAGGGUGCGAGCGUUAAUCGGAAUUACUGGGCGUAAAGCGUGCGCAGGCGGUUUGCUAAGACCGAUGUGAAAUCCCCGGGCUCAACCUGGGAACUGCAUUGGUGACUGGCAGGCUAGAGUAUGGCAGAGGGGGGUAGAAUUCCACGUGUAGCAGUGAAAUGCGUAGAGAUGUGGAGGAAUACCGACGGCGAAGGCAGCCCCCUGGGCCAAUACUGACGCUCAUGCACGAAAGCGUGGGGAGCAAACAGGAUUAGAUGCCCUGGUAGUCCACGCCCUAAACGAUGUCAACUAGUUGUUGGGGAUUCACUUCCUUAGUAACGUAGCUAACGCGUGAAGUUGACCGCCUGGGGAGUACGGUCGCAAGAUUAAAACUCAAAGGAAUUGACGGGGACCCGCACAAGCGGUGGAUGAUGUGGAUUAAUUCGAUGCAACGCGAAAAACCUUACCUACCCUUGACAUGGUCGGAAUCCCGCUGAGAGGUGGGAGUGCUCGAAAGAGAACCGGCGCACAGGUGCUGCAUGGCUGUCGUCAGCUCGUGUCGUGAGAUGUUGGGUUAAGUCCCGCAACGAGCGCAACCCUUGUCCUUAGUUGCUACGCAAGAGCACUCUAAGGAGACUGCCGGUGACAAACCGGAGGAAGGUGGGGAUGACGUCAAGUCCUCAUGGCCCUUAUGGGUAGGGCUUCACACGUCAUACAAUGGUCGGAACAGAGGGUUGCCAACCCGCGAGGGGGAGCUAAUCCCAGAAAACCGAUCGUAGUCCGGAUUGCACUCUGCAACUCGAGUGCAUGAAGCUGGAAUCGCUAGUAAUCGCGGAUCAGCAUGCCACGGUGAAUACGUUCCCGGGCCUUGUACACACCGC
RNAcentral lists this ribosomal RNA (1058 nucleotides) under uncultured Burkholderia sp. RNAcentral describes it as "bacterial SSU rRNA". It matches the Rfam family "Bacterial small subunit ribosomal RNA", at positions 337 to 1393 of the family's 1533-position model. Lineage: Bacteria; Pseudomonadati; Pseudomonadota; Betaproteobacteria; Burkholderiales; Burkholderiaceae. The record is from RNAcentral.